RNAcentral lists this unclassified non-coding RNA (215 nucleotides) under Hevea brasiliensis (rubber tree). The record is from RNAcentral. Lineage: Eukaryota; Viridiplantae; Streptophyta; Magnoliopsida; Malpighiales; Euphorbiaceae.
AUUGCGAUGGCUAUCUUGAUGCAUGCCAUCCCGUGUCGACAUGAGCCGUGCCCCUUAAGUCUUGUCCGUAGCCUCUAGAGGCAAGGAUGAACAAGGCAUGGCUGUGCUUUUGGUCGCGGUCGCUUCCGUGCUGUUCCACCUCUGGAGUCCGUGGUGGUGGACGCCGAUUGCUUCAAACUGGAGCUACAUCGACGACACCAUCACGAUGACGUUCU